Mobula hypostoma (lesser devil ray) is the source of this 1536-nucleotide long non-coding RNA. RefSeq lists it as uncharacterized. The record is from RefSeq and is a predicted model, not a curated record. The transcript has 3 exons. Lineage: Eukaryota; Metazoa; Chordata; Chondrichthyes; Myliobatiformes; Myliobatidae.
UAGAGAUGCUGGCUGGCCUGCUGCGUUCACCAGCAACUUUGAUGUGUGUUGCUUGAAUUUCCAGCAUCUGCAGAUUUCCUCGUGUUUGUGUUUUUAAAUGAUCCACCUUCCAUUGUGAUUCUCAGUCGAGCUGGAAGACGAAGAGAAGGCUUAAAAUUUUGGCCGUAUAGCUCCGCCAUAACUUUUUUCAACUUAACACGUCCUUCCAUAACUUCUGAUGAAAAAUCUUCAGCAAUACGAAUCUUCUGACCUUGGUAGUCAAUCAUACCUUUUCCACGGGCAUCAUGAAUCAGACGGUCCUUUAUUUGAAGUUCAUGGGAACAUAUAAUGACUGAUCUUGGAUUUGAUUUUGAAGUCGACCCGUAGAUAGGUGAUCUGUGAGCACGAUCAAUCAAAGGCAGAGACUUUAUAAUAUCAGGAAAUAAUUCCAAUAAAAGCGCUGAUGUGUUGUGAAUCAGCCAACGCUCCUUUUCUGAACUGUUGAAACUCCUCGGUGUCUGGAGAGGCUGCAGGAACAUCAUCAUAAAGACAAGAGAUUCUGCAGAUGCUGGAAGUCCAGAGCAACAUGCACAAAAUGCUAGAGGAACUCAGCAGGUCAGGCAGCAUCUAUGGAAAUGAAUGAACAGUUGAUAUUUCAGGCCAAGAUCCUUCUUCCAGACUGGAGAAGAAGGGGAAGAUGCCAGAAUUAAAAGGUGGGAGGGAGGGGAAGGAGGAUAGCUAGUAGGUGAUAGGUGAAGCCAGGUGGGUGGGAAAGGAAUCUGACAGCAGAGGAGAGUGGACCAUAGGAGGAAGGGAUCCAAGGAAAGGUUAUGGCAAGUGAGAACAGGUAACAGGCUAGAGUGGGGAAUAGAAGAAGUGGGGAGGGGGAGGGAUUUUUUUUGCCAGAAGGAGAAAUCGAUAUUCAUGCCAUUCGGUUGGAGGCUACCCAGACGGAAUAUAAGGUGCUGUUCUUCCACCCUGAGAGUGACCUCAUUGAGGCACAACAGGAGGUCAUGGACUGACAUGUUAGAAUGGGAAUGGGAAUGGGAAUUAAAAUGUUUGACCACUGGGAAGUUCCACUUUUGGCAGAUGGAGUGGAUGUGCUUGACGAAGCAAUUGGUUCCCCAAUCUGCGAUGAGUGUCACUAGGAACAUCAUCAAGUGAGUUUUCCUGGGCAGAAGCCAGUCAUUCGAAAGGGCAGCAUUAAACCCACAGUGUGCUUCAAAACAAAAUAGUAACUCUGAUCCAAAACCUUGAAGUAUACAGAAUUGGUCCUCAGGUCAAAGGUUGAGGGCCCAGGCCAUUGUCACUGGAACAAAGGAACCAGAUUCAUCCAGCUCCUAACAGAGGAUCCCAACCUCAUUACCAUUGUUAUGUUUUGUAACUCUAAAAUAUAAAACUAAUUGAAAGGAAAACAAGGGAACUAGGAGGUAACUUGUAUGCACAAAGUUUUACUUUAAGCAAGGUGCAUGUCUAUGAUGUGGUGAUGUAAUGACGUGUGCUAUUUACCCACUAUGCAUUCUGUAAAUGACAAAGAAUGCUUAAUCAAACAAUAUA